This 224-nucleotide long non-coding RNA is filed under the name Musa acuminata (dwarf banana). RNAcentral describes it as "long non-coding RNA (MACU_LNC003293)". The record is from RNAcentral. Lineage: Eukaryota; Viridiplantae; Streptophyta; Magnoliopsida; Zingiberales; Musaceae.
CCGGGGGAAUACAUGUUAGAAGACUGGAGGUCGAGUCGGUGGAUCGAUCGACAUAUUGACAGAAGGCUUCAGGCCAUAGAUUCGAGCAUCGAGCUAAGAAGAGUGGAUAUUGCGCCAAGGAUAUUGGAGUUCCGGAGUCAAUUGGCCGAUUGGAUAAUAGGCUACAAGAGAGGACGAUGCACCGAAAAAUCAGAUGGAGUGUCGAGGGACCAAUGACAUGCCGG